UCAAGAAACUUCCACAAUGGGCGAAAGCCUGAUGGAGCGACGUCGCGUGAUGGACGAAGUGCUUCGGCACGUAAACAUCUUUUAUGUGGGAUGAAAUUAUUGACAGUACCACAUGAAUAAGGGGCUCCUAACUCUGUGCCAGCAGGAGCGGCAAUACAGAGGCCCCAAGCGUUAUCCGGAAUCACUGGGCGUAAAGGGUGUCGAGGCGGUUGUAUUAGUCGUUCGUAAAAUCUACGAGCUUAACUUGUAGGCGGCGAACGAAACGGUACGACUUGAGGUUUGGAGAGGUGCGUGGAACUCACGGUGUAGGGGUGAAAUCCGUUGAUAUCGUGGGGAACACCAAAGGCGAAGGCAGCGCACUGGCCAAAAUCUGACGCUCACACACGAAAGCUAGGGUAGCGAAGAGGAUUAGAUACCCCCGUAGUCCCUGAGCGGGCUGGCAAGGCGCAU
RNAcentral lists this ribosomal RNA (450 nucleotides) under uncultured bacterium. RNAcentral's name for it is "bacterial SSU rRNA". It matches the Rfam family "Bacterial small subunit ribosomal RNA", at positions 355 to 825 of the family's 1533-position model. The record is from RNAcentral.